AAGUCGUAACAAGGUAACCGUAGGUGAACCUGCGGUUGGAUCAUUAGUAAAAAUUAUAAAAUAUUUAUUGGAGGAUAGUUUUCUGUCUUUACCUUUUUUUCCCUUUUGGGGGAAAAAUAGAAAAAGUAGGAACAGUUCAGUUCUUCUGAUAAACGCGUAAUGCGCGAACACAUUUGUGCACUUAUUAUGUUUUUGGUGGUUUAAGGUGGCUAAAGUCUAAAGUGCUGUAGCUGUCGCCAUCAACAGGGUUCCUGUGAAAGGGUCAAUCCGCAUAUUAAAUUUUAACCUGUUAUGUCUAUUUUUUUAUUGUCUUAAAUUUUAAACUGAGAUGGAAUAUUUUUUCUGGCUUUUAAACCAGAAAGUAUUUUUCCAUUAAGGUUGGUUCCUGUGGGAUAUAUAAUUACAACCUUUAACAAUGGAUCUCUUGGCUCUC
This 433-nucleotide unclassified non-coding RNA is filed under the name fungal sp. RNAcentral describes it as "partial internal transcribed spacer region". The stretch from base 1 to 46 matches the Rfam family "Eukaryotic small subunit ribosomal RNA", at positions 1786 to 1831 of the family's 1831-position model. The record is from RNAcentral. Lineage: Eukaryota; Fungi.